UCGAGGACCGCCGACCGGGACCGACUUCUCCGAGGAACUCCGAGCGGUGCGAGCCGUACCCCGGAGCCGCGAGUAGCGCGCCGCACGCCGAGUCUCCGGCCCCGCCCCCUGGCGGCGCCCCGGCGGCCAAUGAGGAGCCGAAGCGGCAAGAGCGACGGCCCCGCGGGCCCGUUGACGUGAGCCAGGGGUCCGCGCUCCGCCGGAAAGCAGAUCCCCUCGCCCCCCCAAAAACUGGGUUCCGGGUUUUCCUCGUCUCUUCCGUUUCCGUUUCCGGGGGAGGGACUGGAGAGUGAGGUCGGUGUCUGGAGGCUUAGGGUCCCGUUCCCGUUGGCGUGAUUAUUUUGUGGCAAUCUUAAUGUUGUUGUUAGCCUAGCCACCGUGGGGGGAGAAGAUAAUGAAAAUGGAUUAAAAAACAGCAUACACUUUAACUUAUUUGAUGCAAAAGGAUAUUCUCUUUAAAACAAUUUAUUUAAUUUUAUUUUUUGCGCAUUGAUGUGAGGAUGGCAGAUCUCCUGGAACUGGAGUUACAGACAGUUGUGAGUGUCCAUGUGAGUGCUGGGAAUUGGAACAACCAUUGCUCUUAACCGCUGAGCUGUCUUUCCAGCCCCGACGCAAAGGGAUCUCAAAGGUUGCAGGAUGGAGGAGCCGGAGCCUGAAUAUGAAGAUAGGAUCCUACAAGAGACAAGUCGGCUCCUGGCAGCAACCCCAUUUCCUCCAGAGAAGAUGAAUGGGAACAGAAGAACUUCUACCCGUAACUCGCUUCAUAAGUGAAAGCACCGAGCAAAAAACUCCUUCACCUCAACUGCUGCAAAGACCUCUUGAGACCAUGGAUGAUGGGAUAAUUGCAUCGACUGCCUCAUAUUGCCAAGGGCAAGCAGGCUGGUCUUCCUACAAACACCUAGUACACAGGAGCUUCUGAAGCCUGGCAGGCUCUGUGCUGCCAACCAUGGAUGUUGCCCUGAAGCCUCUGCCCUCAACAACUAUGGAGGACCCUGGGAGUGGCUGUCUAGGAAGCCAAUCGACUGAAAUGCUGACUCAGAUGCCAACACUAAGAUGAUGUGUACUUGAGCCCACAGCCUCUUCCAUAACCAGGUGCUGCUGCCGUACAGCGACUGACACCUCCCACACGCGUGCUGCCGUACAGCGGCCGACACCUUCCAUACGUGUGCUGCCGUACAGCGACCGACACCUCCGACACGCGUGUUGCUGUACAGUGGCCGACAUUUUCCACACGCGUGCUGCCGUACAGUGAUGGACACUUUUUACAUGCGUGCUGUCGUACAGUGAUGGACACCUUCCACACGCGUGCUGCUGCACAGCGACCGACACCUCCGACACGCGUGUUGCUGUACAGACACCAUCCUUCAUGCACUAGAAACCUCUUCUGUUUAGUAUGUUAUAAAGAGUUGACUUCUCCAGUUUCCACUGCUUUAUAAUUUUCCAGUUUACUCAACAUCAGUGAAAUGAGUAGAAACAGGACUGAAAUGUGCCUGUGAUAGCUGCAUAUCAUAUCAUAUCAUAUCAUAUUGUAAAAAUCAAUCAAUCAUGUUUCAGCUUUUAGUUUUUCCUCAAAUUUUGGCAAUGAUGUGAAUAAUCGCUGAGGUUCUAGUUUUCCAUUUUGUAGACCAUCAGAUCCAAUCAAGGAUAGUCUAACAUGAGGCCCCCUGGACAGUCAGACACACAGACAGACGACUCUUCCAAAAGCCGUGGUGGUUUACGUGCGAAAAAAUUGAGAGGCGUUUUCCUGGUUAAUUUAUCAAAUUCUACCAUAAAUAGAGAUAAAACAACUUUGUCAAUUAAGAGAACACUUGCUUUCAAUAAAGGCAGUAUAUUUUUCUUUCACAAUAAUACAUAGAAUGUCUACAUGUACAAGGGUGUGUGUAACUCACGGUUUGGAGAUGGACAGCAGGUGAAGACACAACACUGAUUUUCAAAAUCCCAAUACAUUCCCUUCUUUUUCAAACAAAGCCUGAGACCCAGAAGAGAUUAUAAGAAAGUCUUUCCCAACCAAAUCACAACAAAAGAACUGAACCAAUAAUGCAUUUUUGUAGCCUCUUAGCAGUCACCAAAUGCUACUUACAUACAUUCAACAUCGAGCUUACUGGCGUGAUUUCAAAGUUUUAUAAAAACGAGAAACUUUGCAGAUAAUCAGAAGAUACACAAAUUGCAUUAAACACAAAGGCAGUGUGGUCCUUGUGGAGAAAUCAGGUCAGUACCCUCUGGUAGAAAUGUUCUAUAAAAAUGUGUCACAUUGAAGCAGCAGUGUUCUCAGCCAAUUAUCUGUCCUGAUGUAUGUCCUCGGAGCAUACCAUCUCAGGACUUUAGGCUUCUUUAUCCACUAUCUGACUGAAUUUAGGUACAUCUGGGAAGCAGCUGAAAGGGAUUCUCCGAUAGCCUGACGUCACAGAAAGUGGACCGAGAAAUCCCCCUCUUUACCUGAAGACGCACGGUUCCUACUUCAGUCAUCAUCAGCUCACAAAGGAAAAGAAGGAAACAGUUAAAACCUCACCUCACAUACACUCUCACACAAACCAAACAAAGCACCCUUCCCCCCACGAAACCCCAGCACCAAAGUGUCAAUCAUUCCCAGGAAAUAGAACAUGCCCCUUGGAGUCUCUGAUUUGUUAGUUCAAACUUUAAGGGCAGAAAUGUCCCUAAGUCCGAGUGGGAAGAGGGAAGACAUGCCGAUGACUGCAGAGCCAUUGAGAAAGUGCAUUAUUAGUUAUACAGUCAACUCAGAGCCCCACCCUCCGGUGGAGGUGCUCACAAGUUGACUAAAUGCCUCAAUAACUACACAUUAUGAUCUUGGGAUCAAGGGAAGGGGGCAGCUAGUCUCAUCUAAUGAAACACUGCAGUGGUCUACCACCUUCCCCAUGCUUCUCAAGACUAUAAAAUUGCACAGACUCAGAGAAGUCCAAAGUCAUAGCAGAAUCUCUGAGGCACUCCUGGUUAAGAGAGAAAAAAAAAUAUGAUCCAGUUAUCUUCAUAGUUCCAUAGAUUAUGUGAACAAACCCGUUUUGUUUUAAAACAAAAGCCCAAGGAUCACUUCAUAGGGAUCAUACACCAUUUCCUCUAUCACCUCCUCAGUCCCGAUCAGCCUACGACAGAUUGCACGUUACCCAAGGAGAAAGGAAGGCGUGGAAAAGGCAAACAUUUUACACAGCUUCACAAACACAUUUACAAGGAAUAG
Molecule: non-coding RNA, 3190 nt
Organism: Myodes glareolus (Bank vole)
Lineage: Eukaryota; Metazoa; Chordata; Mammalia; Rodentia; Cricetidae
Source: RefSeq, a predicted model, not a curated record